UACGUAGGUGGCAAGCGUUGUCCGGAUUUACUGGGCGUAAAGGAUGCGUAGGCGGAUAUUUAAGUGGGAUGUGAAAUACCUGAGCUCAACUCGGGUGCUGCAUUCCAAACUGGAUAUCUAGAGUGUCGGAGGGGAAAGCGGAAUUCCUAGUGUAGCGGUGAAAUGCGUAGAGAUUAGGAAGAACACCAGUGGCGAAGGCGGCUUUCUGGACGAUAACUGACGCUGAGGCAUGAAAGCGUGGGGAGCAAACAGG
This 253-nucleotide ribosomal RNA is filed under the name uncultured bacterium. Its description in RNAcentral is "partial 16S ribosomal RNA". It matches the Rfam family "Bacterial small subunit ribosomal RNA", at positions 524 to 776 of the family's 1533-position model. The record is from RNAcentral.